AGAGAGAAGAGAGAGAGA
This 18-nucleotide small RNA is filed under the name Arabidopsis thaliana (thale cress). RNAcentral's name for it is "ATSL195480". The record is from RNAcentral. Lineage: Eukaryota; Viridiplantae; Streptophyta; Magnoliopsida; Brassicales; Brassicaceae.